GUACUUACUUCAGCAGCACAUAUACUAAAAUUGGAACGAUACAGAGAAGAUUAGCAUGGCCAUUGCACAAGGAUGACAAAUAGAAGAGAUGGCCUGUGGAUAUGUUA
Ochotona princeps (American pika) is the source of this 107-nucleotide small nuclear RNA. The record is from Ensembl. NCBI's taxonomy places the organism in Eukaryota, Metazoa, Chordata, Mammalia, Lagomorpha, Ochotonidae.